RNAcentral lists this ribosomal RNA (468 nucleotides) under uncultured bacterium. RNAcentral's name for it is "partial 16S ribosomal RNA". It matches the Rfam family "Bacterial small subunit ribosomal RNA", at positions 28 to 507 of the family's 1533-position model. The record is from RNAcentral.
GACGAACGCUGGCGGCGUGCUUAACACAUGCAAGUCGAACGGAAAGACCCUGCUUUUGUUGGUUUCUCGUGUGGCGAGGGGGGGAGUAACACGUGAGUAACCUCCCCUUGACUUUGGGAUAACUUCAGGAGACUGGGGCGAAUACCCGAGAGGAGCUCCUGCUGCAUGUGGUGGGUUGGAGAAUGUCGGCUGUUGGGGAUGGACUCGCAGCUUAUCAGCUUGUUGGUGGGGUAGGGGCGGACCAAGGCUUUGACGGGUAGCCUGCCUGAGAGGGUGACCGGCGACCAUGGGACUGAGAUACGGCCCAGAAUCCUACGGGCGGCAGCAGUGGGGAAUAUUGCACAACGGGCGGGAGUCUGAUGCAGCAACGUCGCGUGCGGGAUGCCCGCUUUCGAGUUGUAAACAGCUUUCGAAUGUGACGAACACUGAGUGACGGUACCGGGUCAAGAAGCCCCGGCUAACUACGUG